UGCGGAUGUGGUGGAAUUGGUAGACACGCCAGAUUCAGGUUCUGGUGUCGGCAACGAUAUGAAGGUUCAAGUCCUUUCAUCCGCAU
RNAcentral lists this transfer RNA (86 nucleotides) under Fibrobacterales bacterium. RNAcentral's name for it is "tRNA-Leu". It matches the Rfam family "tRNA". From Rfam's summary of the family: Transfer RNA (tRNA) molecules are approximately 80 nucleotides in length. Their secondary structure includes four short double-helical elements and three loops (D, anti-codon, and T loops). The record is from RNAcentral. Lineage: Bacteria; Pseudomonadati; Fibrobacterota; Fibrobacteria; Fibrobacterales.